This 851-nucleotide ribosomal RNA is filed under the name Nothophoma sp. Its description in RNAcentral is "LSU rRNA". It matches the Rfam family "Eukaryotic large subunit ribosomal RNA", at positions 68 to 938 of the family's 3401-position model. The record is from RNAcentral. Lineage: Eukaryota; Fungi; Ascomycota; Dothideomycetes; Pleosporales; Didymellaceae.
ACAGGGAUUGCCCUAGUAACGGCGAGUGAAGCGGCAACAGCUCAAAUUUGAAAUCUGGCGUCUUCGGCGUCCGAGUUGUAAUUUGCAGAGGGCGCUUUGGCAUCGGCAGCGGUCCAAGUUCCUUGGAACAGGACGUCACAGAGGGUGAGAAUCCCGUACGUGGUCGCUAGCCUUUACCGUGUAAAGCCCCUUCGACGAGUCGAGUUGUUUGGGAAUGCAGCUCUAAAUGGGAGGUAAAUUUCUUCUAAAGCUAAAUACUGGCCAGAGACCGAUAGCGCACAAGUAGAGUGAUCGAAAGAUGAAAAGCACUUUGGAAAGAGAGUUAAAAAGCACGUGAAAUUGUUGAAAGGGAAGCGCUUGCAGCCAGACUUGCCUGUAGUUGCUCAUCCGGGUUUCUACCCGGUGCACUCUUCUAUAGGCAGGCCAGCAUCAGUUUGGGCGGUUGGAUAAAGGUCUCUGUCAUGUACCUCUCUUCGGGGAGAACUUAUAGGGGAGACGACAUGCAACCAGCCUGGACUGAGGUCCGCGCAUCUGCUAGGAUGCUGGCGUAAUGGCUGUAAGCGGCCCGUCUUGAAACACGGACCAAGGAGUCUAACAUCUAUGCGAGUGUUUGGGUGUCAAGCCCGAGCGCGUAAUGAAAGUGAACGGAGGUGGGAACCUUUCGGGGUGCACCAUCGACCGAUCCUGAUGUCUUCGGAUGGAUUUGAGUAAGAGCAUAGCUGUUGGGACCCGAAAGAUGGUGAACUAUGCUUGAAUAGGGUGAAGCCAGAGGAAACUCUGGUGGAGGCUCGCAGCGGUUCUGACGUGCAAAUCGAUCGUCAAAUUUGGGCAUAGGGCGAAAGACUAAUCGA